GUAGAUAUGGUUCAGAGGUUAAAGAACACUAGCUGUUGUUCUAGAGAAUGUAGGUUCAAUUCCCAGCACCUACG
RNAcentral lists this transfer RNA (74 nucleotides) under Mus musculus (house mouse). It matches the Rfam family "tRNA". From Rfam's summary of the family: Transfer RNA (tRNA) molecules are approximately 80 nucleotides in length. RNAcentral also lists the same sequence under 1 other name. The record is from Rfam by way of RNAcentral. Lineage: Eukaryota; Metazoa; Chordata; Mammalia; Rodentia; Muridae.